UGGGAGGCCGAUUGACUGACGGUCA
Molecule: non-coding RNA, 25 nt
Filed under: Mus musculus (house mouse)
Lineage: Eukaryota; Metazoa; Chordata; Mammalia; Rodentia; Muridae
Source: RNAcentral